AAACUCAAAAUAAGAUUCUAAAAUCACCCUCAAAACUAAAUCCAUUGGGACCCACUUACUUUUUUAAUUAAAUUUUCAAAUCUCCCUCGUUUAGAUUCUCUGCCAAAAAAACAGCCAUAAAUUUUAAAAAAAGAAGCCCAAAAAAAAUAAAAAGAAACUCUUCCCUCCAUUGGUUAAAAAAUUAAACACCCACCUAAAUAUUCACAAAUUGAAAACAAAUUUCAAAUCCUUCCCUCCAAAACUUUGGUCUACCUUCAAAAAUCCCAUAUCUAUAAAUCACCUCUUGAAACAACUUGUGUACUAGCAAUUUGCAAUAGUCUGAUAUAUCUCUCCUUAGACUCCAUUUUGUGGGUUUACACUGAAUAAAUAAUGGAGGUGUUGGCUAUUACUGAGUUGCUCCAUGAAUGUAAAAUGGAGAAUAUCCCACCUAGCUCAGUAGAAAAAGUCAUGAACCCAAAUUGUUUAGAGGUGAAAUGCUGCACAAGAAAUAUGAAGAGAAAAUUCAGGAGGCCUUUGAGAGAUAUAACCAACUUUUUCAAUUCAUCAGUCGAGCUUAGUGCUCCUUCAGUUGCAUUUACGAGAUUUCAGAGAUUUGAUUCUCUUUCUUAUCAAGGGAUUGUGAAUCGAAAGCGAAAAUCAGCUGAUGAGAAUGUUGAUUCAGUGCAGAAGCAUUGUUCGAAGAUGCUUAGGAGAGAUUUCAGAUAGUUCAAUAUUUAGACAAGUAAAAUAGAUACAAUAGAAGUAGAAUAUAGUAACUUUUUGUUGGGGCAGAAGAUGGUAUUUGGGGAUCUUAGAAGAAAGUUCCCUCUCCUCUCUCUCAAUUUAUGUUCUGAAAUGAACAAAUUGUUUAAGAUUUGCCCGGAAUUUCUUAGUUUUCUUGAUUUUUUUUAUCAUAAUUAAAAUUAUCUUUCUUGAUGGAAAAGAUUCUUUUGCUGUUAGGUUUAUUUUCUUUGAGAGGUAAAAGAUUUUUUGCUAUUAGGUUUAUUUUCUUUGAGAGGUAUGAUUUUGUAGUUUUGUAAAUAGAAGAUCUCUCUUUAGUGAUCGAGUCAAAAUUUUUAUUAAAGGGGUUCAUAAAUAACAUACGAACAAAUUGAAGGGAGAUUCAACAUUUAUAAUAUACACAUAAAAAAUAAUUUUAAUCAUGUAUAAAUAGUACUAAUUUUUCACCAAAAGGGAUUCGAAUGAACCCUCGCCAAAGGGUAGCUUUGCCCCUAUCUCUUCUUAAGUAUUGUUUAGAAAGAGAUUUCUUUCAAUAGAUUUAUAUUUUCAAUAUUAAUUUUUUAGAUUGUUUGACCGAACGAGAUUAAUAUUAAUAUAUUUUUCUUUUUGUUUGAACUAUUAUCUUCAUGAUUUGUAAAUAUAAAUUUUUGUAUGAUGCCUUAUUAAUUUCGAAACCAACACAAAUUGC
RNAcentral lists this long non-coding RNA (1408 nucleotides) under Capsicum annuum. Its description in RNAcentral is "long non-coding RNA (CANN_LNC012011)". The record is from RNAcentral. Lineage: Eukaryota; Viridiplantae; Streptophyta; Magnoliopsida; Solanales; Solanaceae.